CAAAAGUAAAUAGAAGACGCAUAAUAACAUUCAGUGCAUUUGCUGCAAAAAAGAAUGUAGCAAUACGUGGCAGCCUGAGGAAAGUAGUCCGUAUUGAAGGUUAUGUUGAACAUAUCAUACCAUGGUUUUCCGGAAAGCAAUUU
Long non-coding RNA from Harpegnathos saltator (Jerdon's jumping ant), 143 nucleotides. RefSeq lists it as uncharacterized. The record is from RefSeq and is a predicted model, not a curated record. NCBI's taxonomy places the organism in Eukaryota, Metazoa, Arthropoda, Insecta, Hymenoptera, Formicidae. The transcript is spliced from 2 exons.